Molecule: long non-coding RNA, 2181 nt
Filed under: Equus caballus (horse)
Lineage: Eukaryota; Metazoa; Chordata; Mammalia; Perissodactyla; Equidae
Description: lncRNA (ENSECAG00000035627.3)
Source: RNAcentral
CAAAGACCUCUCCAAAAGCUCGCCUUUUGUGGCUACAUUUGGGCAUCUGGAUAUGCUUGGCCUCUUGGGUUUCCAUGCAAGUUUUAACUUGUCCACCUGUGCCAGUGUUUCCAGUUGAUUGAUUAUUAACUGCUCACUGGUACUUGGAAAGGCAUAAUAAAUGCUUGAAUUUUUUUCUCUUUAUUUACCAAUUCUCCACAUAAUGAAUGAUUCUCUAUCAUCUUCCCAAAGUAAACUACUAGCUUUUUUCCCCAAGUAUCUAAGCUCAUGGAUUUAAACAUAUUUUUUGAUCUGUUUUAAUACAUAGCAAUUAGUGCCCUUAGUGAUGUUCAAAUUGUCCAUCCUUGGCCAUCUGUCAAGUUCUAAUAUAUAAUAGUUUCAUUAUCAUUCACUACACAGUAUUCUAAAAUUCCUAUUAUCAUUUCUCCUUUCAUCAUGCAUUAUUUAAACUUAUGGUUUUCUUCUAAAUUUUCAAGAAUGUGAAAUAUUUUUCUCUUAUUUUAAUUUAAUUUUUAUUGGCAUCUUACUUAAUUGCAUCGUGGUUCAAAGAUUCUUGUCAUUUGAUACCGAUAUUUUGAAAUUUGCUGAGAUGCCUUAUGUCCACGUGCAGAGGUCUACAAACUUUUUCUGUUAAAGGUCAGAUAGUAAAUACUUUAAGCUUUGUGAGCCAUAUUUUCUCUUCACCUUAUCAAUUUUUACUUUAUAUAAUUUAAUAUUAUUUUAUUAGGUGCACAUAAAUUUAGAAUUUUUACAUCUUCUUGGUGAAUUUGGCUUUUAAAACACUGUUAUGGGUGCCCCCCUUUAUACUUAAUAACUUUUUAGUCAUAACAUCUAUUAUUUCUAAUAAAAAUCUAGCCAUAUCAGCUUUCUUUUGGUUAAUAUUUGCCGGUUAUUUCUUUUUUUGUCUUUUUAUUUUCAAGCUUUACUUGUUCUAAGUUUUGGUGGAUCUCUUCUGAACAUCACACAACUAGAUUUAAAAAAUCCUUUCUCUCAUUAUCUGCUUUUUUGACUUAUGAGUAUACUCCAUUGGUGUAUUGUGAUUGUAGACUUAUCUGGACUUGUUUAUGCCAUGUCAUUUUAAAUUUCUAUUUGUCGCACUUUUUCUAUGGUUUUUUUUUUCUCGUUUUAUGUGAGAGAUAGUCGCGAUUGGCAAAUAUUCCUUGCACUGCCCCACAGGAACAUUCGAAUUUAGGAGAAGCAACAUGAGUAAUCCUGAGGAUAGGAAUGAAAGUGACAUGUCACUCCUGAUCCAAAGCUGGAAAGAGUGGGUUUGAGUUCUCCAUGUGUUCCUUUACCCGGCUGCAACGAUGUACAGCAUACCCGACAGCGACGCCUUCAUCAGUAAACUUCUAUCACUCAAGAUUGAAUCCUCAUCUUGUAUCAGAAUCAGCCAGCUGUCGGCCAAAAUUUGUGAUCCUGUGCAGAGAAUUGAGUUGUCACUGGAAGCAGCUACCCAGACAAGGACUAGAUUUUCCCAUUCCUCCUGCACCAGAAGUUGUCUUCCUUCCGAUGCCAACCUGUGGAAUGUGUUGCCUUGAGACUAGUUCUCACCAACAGAGUAUGAGUAGAAGUGAGCUGUGUCACUUCUGGGCCAGACUCCUUAAGAUUCUGCAGUGGAGGAUGGAGAAAAUUAAGAUUGUAUGUUUUCAAAUGACCCAAUAAACCCAAUGCUGCCUUGGACAAUCACUUCCCAGCCUAAGAAAACAUGCACUGAAAGCAAAGUAAAACAGUAACACUUUUUAAAAGAUAUGACUUCAGCUUCCAACCCUACUUCAGAACUUGGUGAGCUAGUGUGCGUCCUGAGAAGAAUAUCCUUAACCUAAACUAAGCUGACUUGAAUAGCUCUUAGAAUAAUAGCCGCAAAUAGGUUUCAUUUUAUUUGCCAACUCUAAUAAAUUGGUAGUGGCUUCUUGAAGUUCUAUACCAUCAAGGAUUCUAAGACUGAAGGAGAAUUCAGUGGGACAGCAUAUCACGAUGUAUUAACAACGUCUGUCAUGGGCUUGAGAAUGGAUUAUGGUGGAGAUAUUUGACAUUUCCUGACCUAAAACCAAAGCAAGUCAAGAAGACUCUUCUACCUAAUUCUAUCCCAAAGACUGAACUUAAGAUCUUACCACUAUAAAGAGAUGAAAGGCAGUACUUAUCAUUUAAAAUAAAAGCAGACACUUUGCAAGAAAAGGUAAA